RNAcentral lists this ribosomal RNA (460 nucleotides) under uncultured bacterium. RNAcentral's name for it is "partial 16S ribosomal RNA". It matches the Rfam family "Bacterial small subunit ribosomal RNA", at positions 338 to 795 of the family's 1533-position model. The record is from RNAcentral.
CCUACGGGAGGCAGCAGUGAGGAAUAUUGGUCAAUGGACGAGAGUCUGAACCAGCCAAGUAGCGUGAAGGAUGACUGCCCUAUGGGUUGUAAACUUCUUUUAUAUGGGAAUAAACUGUUCCACGUGUGGGAUUUUGUAUGUACCAUAUGAAUAAGGAUCGGCUAACUCCGUGCCAGCAGCCGCGGUAAUACGGAGGAUCCGAGCGUUAUCCGGAUUUAUUGGGUUUAAAGGGAGCGUAGGUGGAUUGUUAAGUCAGUUGUGAAAGUUUGCGGCUCAACCGUAGAAUUGCAGUUGAUACUGGCAGUCUAGAGUACAGUAGAGGUGGGCGGAAUUCGUGGUGUAGCGGUGAAAUGCUUAGAUAUCACGAAGAACACCGAUUGCGAAGGCAGCUCACUGGGCUGCAACUGACACUGAGGCUCGAAAGUGUGGGUAUCAAACAGGAUUAGAUACCCGGGUAGUC